This 232-nucleotide ribosomal RNA is filed under the name uncultured bacterium. RNAcentral's name for it is "partial 16S ribosomal RNA". It matches the Rfam family "Bacterial small subunit ribosomal RNA", at positions 99 to 334 of the family's 1533-position model. The record is from RNAcentral.
CGGACGGGUGAGUAAUGCAUAGGAAUCUACCCAGUAGCGGGGGACAACUUGGGGAAACUCAAGCUAAUACCGCAUACGCCCUACGGGGGAAAGCGGGGGACCUUCGGGCCUCGCACUAUUGGAUGAGCCUAUGUCUGAUUAGCUUGUUGGUGGGGUAAUGGCCUACCAAGGCAACGAUCAGUAGCUGGUCUGAGAGGACGAUCAGCCACACUGGGACUGAGACACGGCCCAG